RNAcentral lists this ribosomal RNA (437 nucleotides) under uncultured bacterium. Its description in RNAcentral is "partial 16S ribosomal RNA". It matches the Rfam family "Bacterial small subunit ribosomal RNA", at positions 29 to 507 of the family's 1533-position model. The record is from RNAcentral.
AGCGAACGCUGGCGGCAGGCUUAACACAUGCAAGUCGAGCGGGCACCCUGGUGGUGUCGGCGCCAGAGGGGUGAGUGACGCGUAAGAACGUGCCCUUCGGUUCAGAAUACCUCGGGGGGGGUUGUGAUACUGGCGGAUAUGUGCGAACCCAGCAUGGAUUGUCUGCGGAAGGAUCGGCGCGCGUCUGAUUAGCUAGUUGGUUAGGUUACGGCCCACCAAGGCGACGAUCAGUAGCUGGUCUGAGAGGAUGAUCAGCCACACUGGGACUGAGACACGGCCCAGACUCCUACGGGAGGCAGCAGUGGGGAAUAUUGGACAAUGGGGGCAAGCCUGAUCCAGCCAUGCCGCGUGAGUGAUGACGGCCUUAGGGUUGUAAAGCUCCUUUAUCCGGGACGAUAAUGACGGUACCGGAAGAAUAAGCUCCGGCUAACUCCGUG